This 459-nucleotide ribosomal RNA is filed under the name uncultured bacterium. RNAcentral describes it as "bacterial SSU rRNA". It matches the Rfam family "Bacterial small subunit ribosomal RNA", at positions 338 to 795 of the family's 1533-position model. The record is from RNAcentral.
CCUACGGGAUGCAGCAGUAGGGAAUCUUCCACAAUGGGCGCAAGCCUGAUGGAGCAACGCCGCGUGAGUGAAGACGGCCUUCGGGUUGUAAAGCUCUGUCUGUCGGGACGAAGACCGGCCCGGAAGGGCCGGGGAGCCGGUACCGACGGAGGAAGCCCCUGCAAACUACGUGCCAGCAGCCGCGGUAAGGCGUAGGGGGCAAGCGUUGUCCGGAAUUACUGGGCGUAAAGGGCGUGUAGGCGGUGCGAUACGUAGCGGUUUUAAGCCUCCGGCUCACCCGGAGGAGGGCGGCUAAACGGUCGCGCUAGAGGGCAGGAGAGGUGCGUGGAAUUCCUGGUGGAGCGGUGAAAUGCGUAGAGAUCAGGAAGAACACCCGUGGCGAAGGCGGCGCACUGGCCUGGCCCUGACGCUGAGGCGCGACAGCGUGGGGAGCGAACGGGAUUAGAUACCCUCGUAGUC